GACGUAGGGCGCGAGCGUUGUCCGGAUUUAUUGGGCGUAAAGAGCUCGUAGGCGGCUUGUCGCGUCGACUGUGAAAACCCGCGGCUCAACCGCGGGUCUGCAGUCGAUACGGGCAGGCUAGAGUUCGGUAGGGGGAGGACUGGAAUUCCUGGUGUAGCGGUGAAAUGCGCAGAUAUCAGGAGGAACACCGAUGGCGAAGGCAGGUCUCUGGGCCGAUACUGACGCUGAGGAGCGAAAGCGUGGGGGAGCGAACAGG
RNAcentral lists this ribosomal RNA (256 nucleotides) under uncultured bacterium. Its description in RNAcentral is "partial 16S ribosomal RNA". It matches the Rfam family "Bacterial small subunit ribosomal RNA", at positions 524 to 776 of the family's 1533-position model. The record is from RNAcentral.